Molecule: ribosomal RNA, 498 nt
Filed under: uncultured bacterium
Lineage: Bacteria
Description: partial 16S ribosomal RNA
Rfam family: Bacterial small subunit ribosomal RNA
Source: RNAcentral
AUUGAACGCUGGCGGCAUGCCUUACACAUGCAAGUCGAACGGUAACAGGUCUCCGGAUGCUGACGAGUGGCGAACGGGUGAGUAAUACAUCGGAACGUGCCUAGUAGUGGGGGAUAACUACUCGAAAGAGUGGCUAAUACCGCAUGAGAUCUACGGAUGAAUGCAGGGGAUGGCAAGACCUUGUGCUACUAGAGCGGCCGAUGGCAGAUUAGGUAGUUGGUGGGAUAAAAGCUUACUAAGCCGACGAUCUGUAGCUGGUCUGAGAGGACGAUCAGCCACACUGGGACUGAGACACGGCCCAGACUCCUACGGGAGGCAGCAGUGGGGAAUUUUGGACAAUGGGCGAAAGCCUGAUCCAGCAAUGCCGCGUGCAGGAUGAAGGCCUUCGGGUUGUAAACUGCUUUUGUACGGAACGAAAAGCCCCGGGUUAAUACCCUGGGGUCAUGACGGUACCGUAAGAAUAAGCACCGGCUAACUACGUGCCAGCAGCCGCCGUAA